CGCGUCUGCUUUGCGGUGUGAACACGCACUGCCCCCGCGAAGGGCUGAACGUUGCCUAGUUCAUGUCCCAUCACAAUACAGCAGUAUCGUUCAGAUUUUAACAGGGAAGCCUCUGAAGAUUACAGAGCUGUGCACGCUACAUGCAGCUGUUUAUAUUCCCCGGUGCUUCUCCAGCAGCCGCUUUCCGAUCCCGGCUUCUCCAAGGGCCCGUUCCCGACGCGUCCAAGUCACGCUACACCCGCGCCCCGUCUCCCGGGACUGGAAGGCUGCGCGCUUCAGGGCAGACCCCACCGCGGGGAGGCAGGCUCUGGGCCUUUAUCUGAUCCAACAAACAAACAAGACCCCUGAUCCAGUGAGGGCUGCAACUCUUAUGAAAGGCUUGGAAGGACAGGACUUCUGAGGUCCCAUAAGACUGUGCUUCUUCUGAGCUGAAACUGUGAUGAAUUGAAACUACAAGGAAUUUCCUGGGGUGGGAUAUUGAAGGACUGCUCCUCCCAGAGCCCAUGCUAGGGCUGGGAUGAUCUCUGAGAAAGCAAGCAGAUAUGCUUGGGCUGCCUCUCUCUGGAGAAUUACACUGAAGGCAAGGAACUGUGCAGCCUGGAAAAACCUGGGUCAGGAGAGAAUGAGGCGCAUGUCUCCACCCAAGAAAGGGACCUGUCAUGGAUUCACAGGCCCGGUGCUCUUGAACAGCUCUGGAACAGCCCCUGGGAGGACCCUCUUCAGUUUGGCAACCCUCUAUGAGGGUUGCACUCUCUCUUUGGGAUAAGCCCCUUCACCUGGGACCGAAUAUCAGCGCCUUCAACACCCUUGCGUCACACCAUGAGCGUCCCUCUGCGAGUCCACUUGCAUUGGACCCCUGAGGGGAGAAUUAUUCACCCAAAGGGAGCAAUGCAGCCCCAACUUAGUCUGGAGUGACUCUUGGCCAGUAUUGUAAAAUGGAAGGAUUUGUUAACUGUCUGGAACUGUCUGGAAGUCCUUGUGGUAGCAUAGAAAGCUGAAAAGUUCAACUGGGUCUGACUAGAGCUCAGAACUAUCUUGCAGGCCCCAGUCCAGAAGUGUCCCUGCUUCCAGCAGUCCACAUUCAACUGAACCAAUCUGCCCCUCCUCAGUCAUUUGUUCCUCUUUCUGGGCAAAUCAAAGGUCACCUGGCCAUCCACCUUAGCUCUUUGCUCUCCCGCUGAUCCGAAUUGGCUGGCCUCUGUUGUUAGUUGCUAGUCACCGGAUAUCUGAGCAUUGUCUUCUGGGUUCUCUGUGGGCAUGGGGCCCAGAUAGCCAGGUGUCAGUCACACCUGGUCCUCUGUUUUUCUGCAGAGAUCAAACAAUCUUGCUCCCCCACCUAAUUAAACAUACAGCACAUAGGGGAAACUGAGGCACACAGAAUAUUCACACAAAAUAUUAAGAAGUUUCCCACUUUGUCACAGGAGCUCAAUCACAAACAGAGUAGCAACUUCAGAGAAAUUGCUUGCCUGAGCUCUGUCUUCCCAGGAGUCUCUAUUGCAGUUCCAUACAAAACUUGGACUGGAUUCCUUGAGAAAAUAUCUCAAAAUGGGGCCCUGAAAACUUGAACUGGUUAAAGCAGAUAUCUCCUAGACACCCAACAAGGAGGGACACAGAGGAUUCUGACCAUAUUCUGUGCAGUUUUAAAGUGAGUAUUUACCUCCUUCAAUGUUCUGUCUGCUUGUUAGGGCCAGCUAAUGUACAUGCAAUGAUACAUACAAGCCAAACCCACAAACUGUUAAUUGCAUGGUUCCAAUUUUAUACCCCAGCUGUUAAAUUCUUAGCCUUCACUAGCUAAAAGCUGGGGAAUCCCACCCAUUCUGCCUUCCCUAACAAAGAAACAGCCUUCCAAACUAUUAUAAGGAGAUCAGUUACAACAGAUUGUUUGUUACAAACAUUUGGAAAAAAUACAGUUUGACAGUUAGCCAUAAGCAGGGAUGUGCAAACUAGUUCUGCAAAAGUUAAUGACCUUAUUUCUGAACCUUCACUAGUGCCUGGAACUGAAUCUGGGUCAAGAGGGGUUGCAAAUAGCGGAAUAUGUGUGUGUUACUGAAAUAUGCGGUGAGGUUGGGAACACCCACAACCAGCCUUUCAGAUACAAGAGUGGAGUAGCUAGACCUGCUGAUGGCCCAUUAAAGGGAAUUCACACCUGAUGGCUAUUGCAGAAGACUUCUCAGAGAGAACACAUAGACAUUAUAAUGGAGACUGCUUGACUAGUGGGGACUGCUGGAUCCCUAUGUGAAAAGAUCUUUCCAGCAAGCUGGAAGAAACUAUAAAAGAGGGGAAUUGACAUCAUGAUUGACCUCCCUCCCCCCUCAACUCAAUCCUGGAAACAGGUCUGGUGGACAAAGACUUUGAACUGGGGAGGAUGGUCCUAGGCUGGAAAAGAGUCCCAGAACUAUGCCAUCUGUCAGAGUGAGUCACUGCUUGAUUCAAAUCUUGUUUAGUUUGUAGAACUCAGACUGCAAAUUUACUUUUGUUUCUCAGCUCAGUUUACAAAAGGUAGUGUGUGUCCUCUCCACAUCACGGGAGGGGUGGACUGGAUAAUGAUCUUCCACUAGUCAGGCUUCUGACCAGUGCAAGAUGGUACAGUUCUGGGUUGCAAGACUGGGAAGCUGGGGGGGAAUUGGCUGGACCCUCUCUAUUGUUGGUUCAUGAGUGGCUGGGAAAAGAAUUAAUGUAACUCAGUUGGAUGUGUCACUGCCUGUGGAUGUCUGUGUAAGUGCAGAACCUUACCAACAGCAUCACAGAGUGAGAGGGAUACACGCCAGGUUGGUGGGACAGACAGUUUAGCAAUCUCACAGUCCAGGCUGCACCCUGGGAACCCCGUCACCGUCUCACAAUGUAAAUGCAAGAUUUCAUUAUUUUUAUAUGUCUUUCUAGUGAGCCUAUUCGUGUGGCAUUUGUGAGCUUCACAAAUGUGAGCCAAACGCUGGACUAUUAAUGUAGCACUAUCAUAAUGACUUGUCACAUUUUUGUGGAGACAUGAAGAUAUAGUUAUAUCUUAACCACUGUGAUAGUCUGUACCCCUAUGUUCACCCCUUUUACAAGACUAUGUUAAAUUUUGUACAAAGCAUUCUGUGUAAGGUAUCGUUUGAAAACUCAUGAUUUGCUGAUCAUUUUUGUCCUGGUAAAAUAUGUGUAUAAAGAUGUAAGAUUCCAUUGUGUGAUAUACUGGGAUAUGUUCUAGAGGGCAGUCCCAAACAAGUUCCCCAGAGACAAAAGGUUAGCCAAUGCCUCAGUCAGGUGACAAUGGAAUCAAAGGGACCAUCACCUGGUUAAGUGGCCAGGAGAGAGGGUGUGUGCAAAAAAUCUACAUUUUGACAAAGAAGCAGUUUAAGGUUCCCAGCCACACAGACUUUCUGUCUUCUGAACAUCAGCUGGAGGUGAUUCUUGUGCAAGGGAAGGCCUAUACAAGGAGAGGGGAGAUGCCCUAAAUCAUCUUCUCUCCCUUGCUCUCUUCCCAUGGCAUCCUCAACACCUGAAGAACAAAAGAAGCAGCAUUGGACUGGGAGGGAGAUCCUGACUGAAAGAGGUUCUGCCAGUAAGACUGCUGGAACAUGUGACAAGCGAGACCUUUGUUUGUAUUUAUGUAGCUUGUUAAAUUAGAUGCAUUUUACCUUUUAUUUCUUUGUAACCAAUUCUGAUUUAUAUGUCUCAUUACUUAUAGUUACUUUAAAUCUAUCUUUCUGUAGUUAAUACAUUUGCUUUAUUGUUUUAUCUAAACCAGUGUGUUUGGAUUGAAGUG
This is a long non-coding RNA of Dermochelys coriacea (leatherback sea turtle), 3745 nucleotides long. RefSeq lists it as uncharacterized. The record is from RefSeq and is a predicted model, not a curated record. Lineage: Eukaryota; Metazoa; Chordata; Testudines; Dermochelyidae. The transcript has 4 exons.